This 890-nucleotide long non-coding RNA is filed under the name Felis catus (domestic cat). RNAcentral's name for it is "lncRNA (ENSFCAG00000048322.1)". Lineage: Eukaryota; Metazoa; Chordata; Mammalia; Carnivora; Felidae. The record is from RNAcentral.
AUGCGUCCGGAGUCAGCCCUGGAUUCCAAUCCUGGCUCUGCCACGUGGACGGUGACCUGUCGGAAAAUGGAGAGCCCGGUGCCCAACCUGCAGCCCAGCUCAGUGGUCACGAAAGGGUCUGGGGGGCAGGGGCGGCAGAUGGAAAACGGGUGCGGCUCUUUCCUUCAUCUGUCUGCGCACGGACUUCCCCAAGGUCCCCCCUCAGUGCACCCCCUUUUCUCCUCUUUGCCCUCCUGGCUUAAGUGCGUUGGUCUCUUACUGGGUGCCCCCACAGCAUCCCAUGGAUCCCAGAUGGAUGAACAGAUGACUGGAUGGACUCAAAACUCCCGAGGUCUGACCCACGGGAGGUGCUCGGCCAAUGCCGCCCCUCCCCUGGCCCCUUGGCGGCGGGGGGGGGGGGGACACGGCGGGCCGGCCACUGCUACUCAAGUCCUGGAAGCAGCCCAGAUGGGAAGCAGAAGUGCCCCGGGGUGCCCUGGCAAUCAGGCCAGAUCCCCCGUGGGGCGCGCUGGGACCGGCGCGGGGCCCAGCCGCCCUCCCGCUGCGACGCGCAUGCUCCAUGCCCCCCACCCGCCGCGCUUGGUUCCCACGCCGCCGCCACCGCCGCCGCUGCCGCCCCGGCCCCGCCCGCUCCCCGCCCACCUCCAGGCCCUGCUCCUGGCUCUAGACAGAAGAGGACGGACAGCCUCGCAGAACGCGCCUCCUGAGAGCGGCGCCCAGCUGGCAAGGGAGCCCCCGGAAGGGUGCCGGUAUCGUUUGAAGACGUGCCCGUGUACUUCAUCAAGACAGGAUGGAAGCUUCUGGACCUCAGUCAAAGGAUCCCCUCUACAAGAGAGUGUUGCUGGAGAACUACCGCCAUUUGGUGUCACUGGAUGCUGACGCCGGUCUGA